RNAcentral lists this ribosomal RNA (2718 nucleotides) under Rhodobacteraceae bacterium REDSEA-S11_B6. RNAcentral describes it as "bacterial LSU rRNA". It matches the Rfam family "Bacterial large subunit ribosomal RNA". The record is from RNAcentral. Lineage: Bacteria; Pseudomonadati; Pseudomonadota; Alphaproteobacteria; Rhodobacterales; Paracoccaceae.
UCAAGCGCGAAAAGGGCGUUUGGUGGAUGCCUUGGCAGUAAGAGGCGAUGAAGGACGUGAUACUCUGCGAUAAGCUAUGGUAAGCCGAGAAUAGGCUUUGACCCAUAGAUCUCCGAAUGGGGGAACCCACCUGAUACUCGAUUAUUGAUAGCAUUGUUAUGAAUAAUUGGGUAAAACAGGUACUUUUAACCUGAAUACAUAGGGUUUUAAGAGCAAACCCGGGGAACUGAAACAUCUAAGUACCCGGAGGAAAGGAAAUCAAUAGAUACUUCGUUAGUAGUGGCGAGCGAACGCGAACCAGCCGAGCCGAGAUUGUGACUAGAACAUCCUGGAAAGGAUGGCCAUAGUGGGUGACAGCCCCGUAUAGGAAGCAUGAUUGGACGUAUUAAGUAGGGCGGGACACGUGAAAUCCUGUUUGAAGAUCGGGGGACCACCCCCGAAGGCUAAGUACUCCUUACUGACCGAUAGCGAACCAGUACCGUGAGGGAAAGGUGAAAAGCACCCCGACGAGGGGAGUGAAACAGUACCUGAAACCGAACGCCUACAAUCAGUUGGAGGGGCAUAAGCCCUGACAGCGUACCUUUUGUAUAAUGGGUCAUCGACUUGGUCUAUCUAGCAAGCUUAAGCCGUUAGGUGUAUGCGCAGCGAAAGCGAGUCUUAAUAGGGCGUUGAGUUAGAUGGAUCAGACCCGAAACCGAGUGAUCUAGGCAUGACCAGGAUGAAGGUAAGGUAACACUUACUGGAGGUCCGAACCCACACCUGUUGAAAAAGGUCGGGAUGAGUUGUGCCUAGGGGUGAAAGGCCAAUCAAACUCGGAGAUAGCUGGUUCUCCGCGAAAUCUAUUUAGGUAGAGCGUCAUCCGAAUACCCCGGGGGGUAGAGCACUGGAUGGGUAAUGGGGCCCCACAGGCUUACUGAUCCUAACCAAACUCCGAAUACCCGGGAGUACUAGAUGGCAGACACACUGCGGGUGCUAACGCCCGUAGUGGAGAGGGAAACAACCCUGACCUCCAGCUAAGGCCCCUAAUUCAUGGCUAAGUGGGAAAGCAGGUGAGACGGCCAAAACAACCAGGAGGUUGGCUUAGAAGCAGCCAUCCUUUAAAGAUAGCGUAACAGCUCACUGGUCUAAAUAAGCUGUCUUGCGGCGAAGAUGUAACGGGGCUCAAGCCAUGAGCCGAAGCUGAGGACAUCGCAAGAUGUGGUAGCGGAGCGUAGUGUGACAUAGAUUCUAUCCUCUUUAGUCGUCUUUGACGGCCUUGGAGGAUUGAGAAUCUUUCUGUGAAGCCGGGCUGUAAGGCAUCCGGUGGAGAGAUCACUAGUGAGAAUGAUGACAUGAGUAGCGACAAAGAGUGUGAGAGACACUCUCGCCGAAAGUCCAAGGGUUCCUGCUUAAAGCUAAUCUGAGCAGGGUAAGCCGACCCCUAAGUCGAGGCCGAAAGGCGUAGACGAUGGGAACCAGGUUAAUAUUCCUGGGCCAGGAAGAUGUGACGGAUCGUGAAGGUUGUUCACCCUUAUUGGAUUGGGUGGGCCGCUAAUCGGUUCCUGGAAAUAGCCUUCCAUCAGAUCGUACCCUAAACCGACACAGGUGGACUGGUAGAGAAUACCAAGGCGCUUGAGAGAACUAUGUUGAAGGAACUCGGCAAAAUACCUCCGUAAGUUCGCGAGAAGGAGGCCCAGUUUCUACGCAAGUAUUGACUGGGGGCACAAACCAGGGGGUGGCGACUGUUUACUAAAAACACAGGGCUCUGCGAAGUCGCAAGACGACGUAUAGGGUCUGACGCCUGCCCGGUGCCUGAAGGUUAAAAGGAGAUGUGAGAGCGUCGAAUUGAAGCCCAGGUAAACGGCGGCCGUAACUAUAACGGUCCUAAGGUAGCGAAAUUCCUUGUCGGGUAAGUUCCGACCUGCACGAAUGGCGUAACGACUUCCCCACUGUCCACAGCAUGUGCAGGAUAGGUGGUGGGCUUUGAAGCAGUAACGCCAGUUAUUGUGGAGCCUCCCUUGAGAUACCACCCUUGUUCUGCUUGAUGUCUAACUGCGGUCCAUUAUCUGGAUCCAGGACCCUGCGUGGUGGGUAGUUUGACUGGGGCGGUCGCCUCCUAAAGAGUAACGGAGGCGCGCGAAGGUUGGCUCAGAGCGGUCGGACAUCGCUCGUUGAGUGCAAUGGCAGAAGCCAGCCUGACUGCGAGACUGACAAGUCGAGCAGAGUCGAAAGACGGCCAUAGUGAUCCGGUGGUCCCGCGUGGAAGGGCCAUCGCUCAACGGAUAAAAGGUACGCCGGGGAUAACAGGCUGAUACUGCCCAAGAGUCCAUAUCGACGGCAGUGUUUGGCACCUCGAUGUCGGCUCAUCUCAUCCUGGGGCUGGAGCAGGUCCCAAGGGUACGGCUGUUCGCCGUUUAAAGAGGUACGUGAGCUGGGUUUAGAACGUCGUGAGACAGUUCGGUCCCUAUCUGCCGUGGGUGUAGGAUACUUGAGAGGAGUUGCCCCUAGUACGAGAGGACCGGGGUGAACGAUCCACUGGUGGACCUGUUGUUGCGCCAGCAGCAGUGCAGGGUAGCUAUGAUCGGACAGGAUAACCGCUGAAGGCAUCUAAGCGGGAAGCCCCCCUCAAAACAAGGUAUCCCUGAGGGCCGUGGAAGACCACCACGUCGAUAGGCCGGAGAUGUAAGCAUGGUAACAUGUUCAGUUGACCGGUACUAAUGGCUCGAUAGGCUUGGUUUG